Rosa rugosa (rugosa rose) is the source of this 308-nucleotide long non-coding RNA. RefSeq lists it as uncharacterized. The record is from RefSeq and is a predicted model, not a curated record. The transcript is spliced from 3 exons. Lineage: Eukaryota; Viridiplantae; Streptophyta; Magnoliopsida; Rosales; Rosaceae.
CAAAAAGAAUUCAGCUUCCGAAUCGCAACUGGCAACUGGCCUAAUACUUAGACAGCAGAAAAGGCAGAGGAAAAGAGGCGCUCCCCUCAAAUGCAGUUCCGUCAAUUUCUACAAGAUCCAUAGUCAGAUUUUUGACUUUUGGUAGAUGGUUGCAGAUGGAUAAUUUUUCGAUUAUACAUGGAUAUGAUGGAUGUUCGUUUCAAAAGCAUUACAUUAACCAGGAUUCGGGGGAUAGCUUUGUCUUAUCAAGCGCUCACAAGUAUAGAUUACAGUGCUAUUAUACUGAACCACGUAUUGUGCUGCUUGGC